Molecule: ribosomal RNA, 292 nt
Filed under: uncultured bacterium
Lineage: Bacteria
Description: partial 16S ribosomal RNA
Rfam family: Bacterial small subunit ribosomal RNA
Source: RNAcentral
GUGCCAGCCGCCGCGGUAAUACGAACCGUCCAAACGUUAUUCGGAAUCACUGGGCUUAAAGGGUGCGUAGGCGGCCCGGCAAGUUGGGUGUGAAAUCCCUCGGCUCAACCGAGGAAUGGCGCCCAAAACUGCCGGGCUGGAGGGAGACAGAGGUGAGCGGAACAGCGGGUGGAGCGGUGAAAUGCGUUGAUAUCCGCUGGAACACCGGUGGCGAAAGCGGCUCACUGGGUCUUUUCUGACGCUGAGGCACGAAAGCCAGGGGAGCGAACGGGAUUAGAUACCCGCGUAGUCC